Non-coding RNA from Danio rerio (zebrafish), 563 nucleotides. NCBI's taxonomy places the organism in Eukaryota, Metazoa, Chordata, Actinopteri, Cypriniformes, Danionidae. The record is from Ensembl.
GACUAAUCAAUGAAGAAGUGAAAUUAGCUAUAACCGACGACGAAAGAGGUGAAGCAAGUCUGUGAGCGUUUAACGAGUAGAGAUUUAUAGCUUUACCGCUACCAGGGGUGCCAGAUUCAUCUUUAUCCUUGUCAUCAUCAGAUUCCUGACAAAUGGAAAAAACAUCCAGAUUUUAAAAAGUGCUUCCAGUGCACAUCGGUCUGACCUGCAGAACUUCAGGGCCUGGUUGCUCCAGCGGUGCCGCGCUCACAGGCUGCUGCUCAAUAUAGUUCCCCCACUCCUCUGAUGGAGCGUUCCAGUCACACGAUGGGUCUGCAGAUGAGCUUUCUGAUGAACACAACAGCAACUAUUAGGUGGUUUGGAGCUGCUCCGUGGCACCGGAAGCUGCUGAUGGUACCGGGCUGCCGGACUCGUCAUCUGGAGCCUUGUCCUUCCGCCGCUGUUGACGCUUCUCUCGGUUACUGACCUUGGUCUCCCAGGUACCUGCCAGAUUUACCAUCACACUCAUGUUCCCGACCGCUGUAAAAUAAUAAAUGCUGAGUCACAAUUUAUUUAGCACACAC